GACGUAGGGCGCGAGCGUUGUCCGGAUUUAUUGGGCGUAAAGAGCUCGUAGGCGGCUUGUCGCGUCGUUCGUGAAAACCUGCAGCUCAACUGCAGGCUUGCGGUCGAUACGGGCAGGCUAGAGUUCGGUAGGGGAGACUGGAAUUCCUGGUGUAGCGGUGAAAUGCGCAGAUAUCAAGAGGAACACCUGAGGUGAAGACGGGUUGCUGGGCUGACACUGACGCUGAGGCGCGAAAGCCAAGGGAGCAAACGGG
This 253-nucleotide ribosomal RNA is filed under the name uncultured bacterium. RNAcentral describes it as "partial 16S ribosomal RNA". It matches the Rfam family "Bacterial small subunit ribosomal RNA", at positions 524 to 776 of the family's 1533-position model. The record is from RNAcentral.